RNAcentral lists this long non-coding RNA (280 nucleotides) under Brassica napus (rape). RNAcentral's name for it is "long non-coding RNA (BNAP_LNC025118)". Lineage: Eukaryota; Viridiplantae; Streptophyta; Magnoliopsida; Brassicales; Brassicaceae. The record is from RNAcentral.
AGAGUUAAGGGGUGGGGUUUAGGGUUUAGGGUUUAGAGUUUAGGGGUGGUGUUUAGGGUUUAGAGUUAAAGGGUGGGGUUUAGGAUUUAGGGUUUAGGGUUUAGGGUUUAGGGUUUGAGGGUUAAAGUUCAGAGUUUAGGGUUUAGGGUUUAGAGUUUAGAGUUUAGGUUUUAGGGUUUAGAGUUGGAGAGUCGAAUUUUGGGAUAAGAUUUUAAAUUUUGAAAAAUAAAAAAAAAUUUAAAUUUUUCAAAAAAUAAAAUGCUAUUUUGAUCAUUUUUGU